RNAcentral lists this non-coding RNA (28 nucleotides) under Bombyx mori (domestic silkworm). The record is from RNAcentral. Lineage: Eukaryota; Metazoa; Arthropoda; Insecta; Lepidoptera; Bombycidae.
UUGAACAGUUGUUAAAACAAAGAUUGGA